AAGAUAUUUCCUCCGUUCAAAAAAGAAUGUCUCAAUUUUGACUAAAUUUGAAUGUAUCUAUACACUAAGUCAUGUCUAGAUACAUCCAAAUUUUGACAAACUUGAGACAUUUUUUGUUGGACGGAAUGAGUACUAU
Molecule: non-coding RNA, 136 nt
Organism: Brachypodium distachyon (stiff brome)
Lineage: Eukaryota; Viridiplantae; Streptophyta; Magnoliopsida; Poales; Poaceae
Source: Rfam